AAAAAAAAACUACGAAAAAAAACCAGAACUCGCACGCACGAGCGAGACUGCCCUCUCGAUCCCCUCGACCUACGAUCUGUGACUGCAGACGCACCAGAUCGCCGCCGCGGACCUGGCAGGGAAGACGCGGACGAGAUCCCAAGCCGCUGCUCCUCCUCUCCCGGGAUGCAGCCGCCGCCGCCGAACCAGGGAGACGCCGGCGACCGUCUCCGCCGUCGUGGAUCACCAGGACGCCGCCGCCUGCACCGCCACCACCGCACCACCACCACCGCGCCUCAAUCCCACAGCCGCUGGCCUCCUCCUCCUGUAGCGCCGCCGCUCCAGCCCCUCACCUUCUCAGCCUGGAUCCGUGCGACAAGGUGUGGGGCUAUGGGAGAGAAGGCUCCAUAUCGCGCGACAAGGUGAGGGGGCGCCCAGAUCCGCAGCGGCACCACCGCGCCCUCGUCCACCUGGCCCUCGAGGUCGGCCAUGGAGGUCCGGCCCGACCAAUGGAUGGAUGGGGAUGAAACCCUAGCCCAACACCCACCCAUGGAUGGAUGGGGAUGGGGCGGCGGCUGCGGCCUUCUCUCGGUGCUUGCUGGUGUGGUGGACAUCGACGUCGGUGACGGGUUGCAGCACGUAGACAUCAAAGGUACUGACACCCUCCAUCCUCAAGGUUUCUUCCCCUCGCGAUGUUGCUUUGUAGGUGGCCAGGAUCUCCGCGGUCGGCAUCGGCGUCGGCGUCGUCUACGGCUCUGUCAGGCUCGACAUCCUCAAGGCACUAGCAAUGUUUUACCAUUGACAGAGCAUUGUGAAUAUGGUAACAGACUACUUGGGUGUUCUGAAAUCGAAUUCUGUAUAUAAUAUAAGUAUAGUCCAUGACAUGUGCUGCUGCUUCCGAUUAGAUACAAUAGCUUCUCUCUUUUGUAUCGUACAACUGAGAUCUUCAUUACAUUACAACCUUAUGUUUUGCUUUUUUUUAAUUGAAAUUGGUGUUCUCUCUCUAGGUUAAUGGAUCAUCCUGGGAAUGGACUAUGGAAUGGCAAACUAACAGGGCACAUCGCACAACUGGGUAUUGUCAAUCUACUUACAGACCACUUGCGUUGGGCAAGAGGGUUCUGCUGUGGAGACCAAGAAAAAGGAUGGGAACAUUGGGGACGCCUCAGCUGCCAUCGAUGAACGCAACUCGGAACAGGCAAAGCUCCACGCGAGGCUCCCCUGGCUGCCGAGCAUCUCUGAGAAGCCCAAAAUGAUAUGAGAUGAUGUCAUGGUGAUCGAUAGUGCCACGCAGGUUAUGCCGGAGACCAUCAUGUUCCCUGUCAAGUUCUUCCAGUUCUUCACCGAGAUUCUGCCAGCAGCAAGCGAGGUCAUCUCCUUCUUAGACCAGUACUAAGGACCGCCGUUAUGUGGAUCCAUUUUACAUGCAAAUGUCGAGCCCAUCAUAUCGUGUUCGACCCAUGAACUGGAAGGAUAUAUUGCUUGCCAUUAUGUGGUUGUUGGUCAGGCCAGCUGAGGAGAGGCACCAAAUUAAGAAGAGAGAGACAUCAAAGAUGGAGCUGUGUUUAGCUUCUCGCUCAUCAGACCUUACUCGGCAGAGCUGCUUGAGGGGCUUGCUGCCAUGCGGUUUUGCUCAAAAUAGCUAGAGCACACACGUGAUAGGGUUGCUUUGGUUUACAGGGAGGAGAGGCUGAGGCUGAUGCUUCUAGAGUUGGUGUACGUUGCGUAGAGAGAGGUGAGGAUCUCACUCCAGUAUCUUGUAAGUCUGGAGUAGGACAAUACGUUGGGCCUUUUCAUUAAUGGAUGUUGUUUCUGCAUGUAUCUUGACUAUAUAUUUGAUCCGAUGCAUUACUUUAUUUUCUAGAAACUUUACUCUUAGGGUAAGUGCAAGUAAAAUGUCGGUUCACAUUGGAAAAAUUCACUCGGCGUUGUCCUUCUGUUUCAUGCAUGAUGCAAUAACCAUAAAACAUGUUUGGCACCAUGGAAGCCACAAGGUUACAGAACUAGAGACAUGUAACCUACUUAAUGCCUUAUAUCUGUCUUCCUAUGUUUAAAUAUUUAGAUAUUUUUCUCUAAAUUAUUUAUAUAUUUUUCGAUCAUGUACCGCCUCUCAUGGAUUAUUUAUUUAUAGCAAAUCCAUGAAGUUUAUGAUUUUCGCAUAUAGCUAUUGUUUUACUUUUGCCUUGUUGUGACCUGUGAGUACAAUUAGUCUUCUGGCUAAAUUCUUGUUUUAUAUUCCCACAUCAUCUUAGAUAUUUCAUUCAUUGUCACUACUCUUAAUUUUGGUUUACAAAUUUGCUGUGGGUUAAUGAAUUUUUCAGGUUCUACUGAAUUUUUCAUGUUGAAUUUGAUUGUAUACAUACUUGCUAAUCCAAUUAUAGAUAGCUAAAUAAAUUGAAGAUGAUGCCACUUUGUGCAUUGUACAUCUAUUGGAAAUGGCAAUAGUUACAUGACCAACACUUUCCCAUUCAGUUUAGUCUGCUAUUCUGCUUGUACUAUCAUUUCUUCAGAUAUAUAGAUUUUUUGUUCUACUAAACUCUCAUGCUACUUGAAGUUUACGUAAAGAGUUUCGGGGGAGCAAAGCAGAAAGGAGUUCAGUGCGAAGGAGAAUAGGAGGGAGGAGAGAUUUUUUUGUGCGUUAGAUGGAUUGACAAGUACCAAAGUUUGAUGCAAGCAGAACUGAAACCUGUCCAUGAAUUACCUUCAGUCCCACAUUCCAAUCAACAACAUUGGGCCGAGCGAGCGCGCGGGUGUCGCAAGAGGCAAUGGGCAGCCGGUGGAGACUGAGUGGUGAGCGGCGGUGGCGAGGUCGAGCGGUUGGCACCAGCGGCGAGUAGGCAAUUACCUUGAUGGGCGAGCGGAUGGGGCGAGUAGGUGUCACGAUUGCAUCACAAUUGGAAUAAAGUAAACAAUGCAUACGUGUGGCCAUUAACUGAUUUUGUAUGUUGUGUGCUUGGGUUAACAGCCAGCCAAAUCAAUCAGCCAAGGGCCAUUAUGUACGUGAGUGUGUUAGCGGUGGGUAUAUCUGAAGAUUAUUUCUCAACUCGGCAUGUGGGUAGAGACUAAAAAGACGAUGCCAUGGUAGCAUGGCAGACCUGGCAAGUGCCACGAACAUCAUGAUAUUCUUCCUUUUCUUAAUUUCUUGAUUUGAAAAAUAAUUUGCUCUGCAUGUGUAGGAACAUAGCAGUCAGGCAAAUGACACUUUGGCAUCUUGAUCUAUCAAGGGAAAUAAUUUCUUUACUUUAGAA
Molecule: long non-coding RNA, 3224 nt
Organism: Triticum aestivum (bread wheat)
Lineage: Eukaryota; Viridiplantae; Streptophyta; Magnoliopsida; Poales; Poaceae
Exons: 6
Source: RefSeq, a predicted model, not a curated record